Molecule: unclassified non-coding RNA, 250 nt
Filed under: plant metagenome
Description: partial contains small subunit ribosomal RNA, internal transcribed spacer 1, and 5.8S ribosomal RNA
Source: RNAcentral
GUAGGUGAACCUGCGGAGGGAUCAUUCACAUGAUAUAAACCUUUUUUUUAAACAAACUGUGAACUAUAUAUAUAAAAACUAUUCGUGUUUGUUUAUUUCAUAUAUUCAAAACACUGUCAUUCGAUGAACAUUAGAUAGCUGGCUUUUGAUUUUUUAUAAUCUCUUUCUCAGCUUGAUUUGUUUUUUAUGACUAAACAUCAUAAAAACAAUCAACCAAACAUAGAAACAACUCUAUGCCCUGGAUAUCUUG